AAAAAGACAAACCUUAGAUUUUCGUGUCCAACGUUUGACUGUUCGUCUCAUAUGAAAUUUUUUUAUAAUUAGUAUUUUUAUUGUUGUUAGAUGAUAAAAUAUGAUUAAUACUUUAUGCGUGACUUGUCUUUUUAAUUUUUUUCAAAUAAGACGGACGGUUAAACGUUGGACACAGAAACUCAGAGUUUGUCUUUUU
Oryza meridionalis is the source of this 196-nucleotide non-coding RNA. Lineage: Eukaryota; Viridiplantae; Streptophyta; Magnoliopsida; Poales; Poaceae. The record is from Rfam.